This is a long non-coding RNA of Equus quagga, 589 nucleotides long. RefSeq lists it as uncharacterized. NCBI's taxonomy places the organism in Eukaryota, Metazoa, Chordata, Mammalia, Perissodactyla, Equidae. The transcript is spliced from 3 exons. The record is from RefSeq and is a predicted model, not a curated record.
CAGUCGGUGGCGGCGCAGAAGGAUUCGGAAGAGAAAAUGAAAGCUCCCUCUCGUUCCCGCCCCCACCCCUGCCGCUACUGCUACGCUUAAAUGUCGGCGCACACUCUCCAGGCUGCCUUAGAUGAAGUCACAGGCCCCGUGUCAAGAGUGACCGGCCGGUAUCACUCUCAUUUUCACUCGGCGGAUGUGGUGGGCAGAGUUCCCUCUGGAGGCCCAGAGAUGACCUCGUCUUUCACAGCAGUUAACCGCCCUAUGGACACGGGCACCCCUUUUUGGCCAUCGCAGACGCCUGAAUAUGCAAACGAGAGCAUUGGCAGCAGGCUUCUGGUCAAGAUGCAGAUUCUUCCCCUUUGGAGGAGAAGGAGACUGGCAGGGCUGUCUGGGUGCUGGCUCUGGGCCACUGUGUGGGUUGCACACCCAUGAAGCCAGUCCUGUCUCCAGAGCAGGCCCGCAAGACCCUUCAAGAUCUGGACCCAAAGGACCACCCCAGCCUGUGCUUACCACCUCAACGAACUCUGUGCUCCUUCCUCUCAAGACCUCGCCCCACUUCCCACCUCUGGGCGCCUGUUCUUUUCCCGAUGCCCGGGCA